GUAGCAUAAUCACUUGCCCAUUAAUUGUGGGCUAGAAUGAAUGGAAAAACGAAGUAAUAGCUGUCUCUAGUAGUACCAUAAAAACUAAUCUUCCAGUGAAGAAGCUGAAAUAAAAUCACAGGACAAGAAGACCCUAUAGAGCUUUAUUUUUAAUACAUAUAUUAAAUGUAAAAAAAUUCAGUUGGGGCGACUAAGGAAAAAUCAUCCUAAAACAUAAAAGACUUACAAGUCAAUUAAAAGAUCCUAAAUAAUAGAUCAAAGAAAUAAGCUACCUUAGGGAUAACAGGCUAAUCCUCCUGGAAAGUCCAAAUUUAUAGGAGGGGUUGGCACCU
Molecule: ribosomal RNA, 332 nt
Filed under: Branchiodrilus sp. M5
Lineage: Eukaryota; Metazoa; Annelida; Clitellata; Tubificida; Naididae
Description: partial large subunit ribosomal RNA
Rfam family: Bacterial large subunit ribosomal RNA
Source: RNAcentral